RNAcentral lists this transfer RNA (69 nucleotides) under Tentoriceps cristatus (crested hairtail). RNAcentral describes it as "tRNA-Glu". It matches the Rfam family "tRNA". Rfam says of the family: Transfer RNA (tRNA) molecules are approximately 80 nucleotides in length. Their secondary structure includes four short double-helical elements and three loops (D, anti-codon, and T loops). Lineage: Eukaryota; Metazoa; Chordata; Actinopteri; Scombriformes; Trichiuridae. The record is from RNAcentral.
GUUCUUCUAGUUAAAUAAUAACGGUGGUUUUUCAAUCCAUAGUUCUUGGUUAAAGUCCUAGGGAGAAUU